Molecule: long non-coding RNA, 579 nt
Organism: Bombina bombina (fire-bellied toad)
Lineage: Eukaryota; Metazoa; Chordata; Amphibia; Anura; Bombinatoridae
Exons: 3
Source: RefSeq, a predicted model, not a curated record
CUUCUUCAGCUGUUUACAGACCAUCUACCAGUGCAGCUGGUUCCAGACCUUCUACUAGUUUUUCUCAUGGACAAUUUAUAUGCUCCACAUCUACUGUUACACACAGUUCUUCAUCUGCGGACACACUUCCUGAUGUGAUUUGGGACGUCUUUUCCAGAGAUUGACUGGACAUUCAUCUCCAUUAUUUGAUGAAGAAGAAAACUCAUCAAGGGAGAUCACUAUCAAUCUCAUGCCAAUAGUGGAAAAUCCAAUUCAAGAAGAAACACCAGGAGGACAUGAUGGAAGUGAGACUCCAGAUAUUCUAGAAGAAUUUGGAGAUGCACAACCAGAUGAAAUCCAUACACCUGAAAACCUGGAGGAACCAGUUGAAACACAGGCACCACCAAUAACACAGGAAACAGGUGCUCUAAUAUUGAAAAUACACCGGCAGAAGGACUAUUGGCCGAUGUUGGAUUAAGGGAAAUGUUGACCCUUGCGAGGCAAUAUAGAGAGGACCACAGGGAUAUACAGAAUAUUAUAAACACUAAUAUUGAACGCUGGGCAGCUAUUUCUGAAAAAAAAUAUUGAACUAGAAAUGGA